UACAGAGGGGGCAAGCGUUGUUCGGAAUUACUGGGCGUAAAGCGUGCGCAGGCGGCUUUGCAAGACAGAUGUGAAAUCCCCGGGCUUAACCUGGGAACUGCAUUUGUGACUGCAUGGCUGGAGUGCGGCAGAGGGGGAUGGAAUUCCGCGUGUAGCAGUGAAAUGCGUAGAUAUGCGGAGGAACACCGAUGGCGAAGGCAAUCCCCUGGGCCUGCACUGACGCUCAUGCACGAAAGCGUGGGGAGCAAACAGG
Molecule: ribosomal RNA, 253 nt
Filed under: uncultured bacterium
Lineage: Bacteria
Description: partial 16S ribosomal RNA
Rfam family: Bacterial small subunit ribosomal RNA
Source: RNAcentral